CUAACAAGGAUUCCCCUAGUACUGCGAUGAACGGGAAAGCUCAAAUUUAAAAUCUGCGUCCUUGGGCGUCCGAGUUGUAGUUUAGAGAAGCGCUUUCCGCGCCGGACCGUGUACAAGUCUCCUGGAACGGAGCGUCGUAGAGGGUGAGAAUCCCGUCUUUGACACGGACCGCCGGUGCUUUGUGAUGCGCUCUCGAAGAGUCGAGUUGUUUGGGAAUGCAGCUCAAAAUGGGUGGUGAAUUCCAUCUAAAGCUAAAUAUUGGCGAGAGACCGAUAGCGAACAAGUACCGUGAGGGAAAGAUGAAAAGCACUUUGGAAAGAGAGUUAAACAGUACGUGAAAUUGUUGAAAGGGAAACGCUUAAAGUCAGUCGCGUUCGCCGGGACUCAGCCUUGCUUCGGCUCGGUGUACUUCCCGGUGGAUGGGCCAGCGUCAUUUUCGAUUGUCGGAAAAGGGCGGGGGAAAGGUGGCACCUUCGGGUGUGUUAUAGUCCCUUGUCGUAUGCGACGGUCGGGAGUGAGGAACUCAGCGCGCCUUACGGUCGGGGUUCGCCCACGUUCGCGCUUAGGAUGCUGGCGUAAUGGCUUUAAACGACCCGUCUUGAAACACGGACCAAGGAGUCUAACAUGCCCGCGAGUGUUCGGGUGGAAAACCCGUGCGCGUAAUGAAAGUGAAAGUUGGGACCUCUGUCGUGGAGGGCACCGACGCCCGGACCAGACCUUCUGUGACGGAUCUGCGGUAGAGCGUGUAUGUUGGGACCCGAAAGAUGGUGCCCCUAUGCCUGAAUAGGGUGAAGCCAGAGGAAACUCUGGUGGAGGCUCGUAGCGAUU
RNAcentral lists this ribosomal RNA (828 nucleotides) under Laurilia sulcata. Its description in RNAcentral is "eukaryotic LSU rRNA". It matches the Rfam family "Eukaryotic large subunit ribosomal RNA", at positions 65 to 885 of the family's 3401-position model. Lineage: Eukaryota; Fungi; Basidiomycota; Agaricomycetes; Russulales; Bondarzewiaceae. The record is from RNAcentral.